RNAcentral lists this long non-coding RNA (348 nucleotides) under Gossypium barbadense (sea-island cotton). RNAcentral describes it as "long non-coding RNA (GBAR_LNC020377)". Lineage: Eukaryota; Viridiplantae; Streptophyta; Magnoliopsida; Malvales; Malvaceae. The record is from RNAcentral.
GGUGAGAAGGAAGGGAGGACCUACGGGAAGCCAUAACUAGAUUUCCAAGACAUUCCCAAUAGCCAACGACGUAGAUAUAAUUAUUUAAGGUAGUCCGAAACUUAUGAUAGGUAGAUGAUGAAUAUGAAGGUGAAGAUGUGCAGUGCAGUGCAGGGGCAGGCAGUUAACCUCUUUAUUCCCAACACUACCUGAUUUGUGAUUUGAUUCUUCUAUGUAAUCAUCAUCUCCAGCAACAAUACCAUCUUCAAAGAUAUCCACAUCAUCUUCUCCAUCCCAAUCCUCCUCCUCAAGCUCUUCAUCAUCGUCAACUUCAUAUACAUCAUCACCAUCAUCAUAAUCUUCAUCAUC